RNAcentral lists this ribosomal RNA (266 nucleotides) under uncultured bacterium. Its description in RNAcentral is "partial 16S ribosomal RNA". It matches the Rfam family "Bacterial small subunit ribosomal RNA", at positions 524 to 789 of the family's 1533-position model. The record is from RNAcentral.
UACGGAGGGGGCUAGCGUUGUUCGGAAUUACUGGGCGUAAAGCGCACGUAGGCGGCUUUGUAAGUUAGAGGUGAAAGCCCGGGGCUCAACUCCGGAAUUGCCUUUAAGACUGCAUCGCUAGAAUUGUGGAGAGGUAAGUGGAAUUCCGAGUGUAGAGGUGAAAUUCGUAGAUAUUCGGAAGAACACCAGUGGCGAAGGCGACUUACUGGACACAUAUUGACGCUGAGGUGCGAAAGCGUGGGGAGCAAACAGGAUUAGAUACCCUG